GGGAAGAUGGACAGAGUGGAGUGCUGGCUGGAAUGCCUGCUCAUAUGAUCUGGGAGUACGAUCCUAAACCAUCAUGUGAUCAUGAAAUAAAAGAAAAAGAGGGAAGCGAGGUCGUCCCAAGACAGGCCGUAGGGUUGGACCAGAUGUUCUGCCCCAUGAAGUCCUGGGACUCCAGCUGUUUCAACACAUCCCCUCACAACUCCUGGGUGUGGCCACAUUUUCCUGGUCUAAGAGGUUGCUGGUCCAUACCUGGCCCAGACAUCAUGAUGGAGAAGAAGAGAAGAGAGGACAGAAACAGCAUGCACGGCUUUACAUUAAGGAAGGAGCCAGAAUCUGUUACAUGGAAAUUCUCACUCACAUCCCGAUGACCGUCACUUAGCCACAUGGUCCCACGGGCCUGCACAGACAUCAGCUGAGAAAAUGUCACCUUUAUUCUAGAUGACCAUGG
This is a long non-coding RNA of Mustela erminea (ermine), 448 nucleotides long. RefSeq lists it as uncharacterized. The transcript has 2 exons. NCBI's taxonomy places the organism in Eukaryota, Metazoa, Chordata, Mammalia, Carnivora, Mustelidae. The record is from RefSeq and is a predicted model, not a curated record.